CUGCCCUGGAGUGUCCGUCCCUACAGCAGACUCUCUCUCUCCUCACCAGCACACGCCAGCAAACUCCCCACCACUGACGCCAACUCCAGGAACCCCUCCCGGGGAAGACCUUACUCCUCCCGGACCAAGUCUCACUAUGCGGUGCAAGCGGACCUGGAACCUGCCAUUUAGCCCAAGCUGAUCUCAAACUCACGGCCCCCCCCCCCCCCCCCCGCCUCAGCGUGCGUAAUGCCGGGAUCACAGCUGCGCGCCACCGUGCCCAGCCGGUUUGAAUGUCUGUGUCCCCCCAAACCAACGCUGACAUCUGGUUGCUGUAGCAGCGCCUCCCUCAUAGACGGCAGUCCUCUGCUAUAACCCCAUCCCGCACCUCGCUCUCGCAGUAAGAGCAAGCUGGUCCCUCAUCUUUCCGUUCCUCGAGGCUGUUAGUCAGUGUAUUUCUGUUCCUUAUACAUCGCUCAGUCUCAGGGACUGUGCUGCAGUACAAAUGCCCUCAACACAUGGAUGAAGGAUGUUCCAGGCCAUAAGACAGCUUGUACACUGAGAACCACUGGGAGGCCCGGAAGGUUCUCCAGAAUCUUAAGGGCAGCCCAGCUAAACCCAAAGCACCGCCCAAGGAGGUUGGGAUGCCUUCCCCACAGUCAUCCACGCCCUCCGCCGCCACCUUUCAGUUGUUCGGUUUUGGUUUUUUGUUUUUUUCGAGACAGGGUUUCUCCGUGCAGCCCUGGCUGUCCUGGAAUUCGCUCUGUAGACCAGGCUGAUCUACAACUCAGAGGCCGGCCUGCCUCUGCCUCCUGAGUGUUGGGCUUAAAGGCCAGCGCCACCACGCCCAGUGGUUCCUAAUGAUUGACUUCUAAUUUUUUUCCCUUGAAGAAAAGGGAUUCUCCUCCAUAGCCACCGACCCUCUGCCACAUUCGAAUUUUAUACCGAAUGAGUUUGACACUGCAUCAGUACUUUGAUAAUGGUCUGUGUUCAAAUUAGCUGACGUUUGUCGCAUGCCUCAACCUUCCUAACGCUGUGACCCUUUAAUGCAGUCUCUCGCGUUGUGGUGACCUCCACCAUAAAGUCAUUACAAAUUUACUACAUCGCUACUUCCUAGCUGUAAUUUUGCUACGGUUAUGAAUUGUAAUGUAAAUAUCUGAUAGAUAUGCAAACCCCUGGAAGGGUCAGUCCACCCCCAGACGGGUCAGGACCCACAUGCUGAGAACUGCUGUUAGAGAAUGUUCUUCAUCUGCCUGUUUCUCUUCCUCUCACCUCUGCCGUUGUACCUGGAGACACGUGAUGCCAGUCUGAUGCCUUCAGUGGCCCCGAGAUAGCGGAAUUUACCCCCUUUGUGUCCUUUUGCCUUGAACAUGAGUUGGACCUAGCGACUUCCUUCCCAGGAGUAGAAUAACUCAAAAGUUAUGGAACGGUGCGCAGCUGCGCCAUCCACCGUUGCUAGGAAACGGAGUCAGGGUAGAUGUCCAUCAGCCGAUGAGCGUAUGAUGAAAAUGUGCUGCGUGUAUACAAAUUAGUUUUAUUUGGUUGUAAAUAAAACGAAAUCUGCAGGAAAA
Long non-coding RNA from Meriones unguiculatus (Mongolian gerbil), 1550 nucleotides. RefSeq lists it as uncharacterized. The transcript has 2 exons. NCBI's taxonomy places the organism in Eukaryota, Metazoa, Chordata, Mammalia, Rodentia, Muridae. The record is from RefSeq and is a predicted model, not a curated record.